This 824-nucleotide ribosomal RNA is filed under the name uncultured bacterium. RNAcentral describes it as "bacterial SSU rRNA". It matches the Rfam family "Bacterial small subunit ribosomal RNA", at positions 64 to 884 of the family's 1533-position model. The record is from RNAcentral.
CGACGGCAGCACGGGAGCAAUCCUGGUGGCGAGUGGCGAACGGGUGAGUAAUAUAUCGGAACGUGCCCAGUCGUGGGGGAUAACGUAGCGAAAGCUACGCUAAUACCGCAUACGAUCUAUGGAUGAAAGCGGGGGAUCGCAAGACCUCGCGCGAUUGGAGCGGCCGAUAUCAGAUUAGCUAGUUGGUGGGGUAAAAGCCCACCAAGGCGACGAUCUGUAGCUGGUCUGAGAGGACGACCAGCCACACUGGAACUGAGACACGGUCCAGACUCCUACGGGAGGCAGCAGCGGGGAAUUUUGGACAAUGGGCGCAAGCCUGAUCCAGCAAUGCCGCGUGCAGGACGAAGGCCUUCGGGUUGUAAACUGCUUUUGUACGGAACGAAAAAGUCUGCCCUAAUACGGUGGGCUCAUGACGGUACCGUAAGAAUAAGCACCGGCUAACUACGUGCCAGCAGCCGCGGUAAUACGUAGGGUGCAAGCGUUAAUCGGAAUUACUGGGCGUAAAGCGUGCGCAGGCGGUUAUAUAAGACAGAUGUGAAAUCCCCGGGCUCAACCUGGGACCUGCAUUUGUGACUGUAUAGCUAGAGUACGGCAGAGGGGGAUGGAAUUCCGCGUGUAGCAGUGAAAUGCGUAGAUAUGCGGAGGAACACCGAUGGCGAAGGCAAUCCCCUGGGCCUGUACUGACGCUCAUGCACGAAAGCGUGGGGAGCAAACAGGAUUAGAUACCCUGGUAGUCCACGCCCUAAACGAUGUCAACUGGUUGUUGGGUCUUCACUGACUCAGUAACGAAGCUAACGCGUGAAGUUGACCGCCUGGGGAGUACG